Molecule: ribosomal RNA, 202 nt
Filed under: Klebsiella pneumoniae
Lineage: Bacteria; Pseudomonadati; Pseudomonadota; Gammaproteobacteria; Enterobacterales; Enterobacteriaceae
Description: partial 16S ribosomal RNA
Rfam family: Bacterial small subunit ribosomal RNA
Source: RNAcentral
UGAGACAGGUGCUGCAUGGCUGUCGUCAGCUCGUGUUGUGAAAUGUUGGGUUAAGUCCCGCAACGAGCGCAACCCUUAUCCUUUGUUGCCAGCGGUCGCCGGCGAACUCAAAGGAGACUGCCAGUGAUAAACUGGAGGAAGGUGGGGAUGACGUCAAGUCAUCAUGGCCCUUACGACCAGGGCUACACACGUGCUACAAUGG